GACCGCCUGGGGAGUACGGCCGCAAGGUUAAAACUCAAAUGAAUUGACGGGGGCCCGCACAAGCGGUGGAGCAUGUGGUUUAAUUCGAUGCAACGCGAAGAACCUUACCUACUCUUGACAUCCAGCGAAUCCUUUAGAGAUAGAGGAGUGCCUUCGGGAACGCUGAGACAGGUGCUGCAUGGCUGUCGUCAGCUCGUGUUGUGAAAUGUUGGGUUAAGUCCCGCAACGAGCGCAACCCUUAUCCUUUGUUGCCAGCACGUAAUGGUGGGAACUCAAAGGAGACUGCCGGUGAUAAACCGGAGGAAGGUGGGGAUGACGUCAAGUCAUCAUGGCCCUUACGAGUAGGGCUACACACGUGCUACAAUGGCAGAUACAAAGAGAAGCGACCUCGCGAGAGCAAGCGGAACUCAUAAAGUCUGUCGUAGUCCGGAUUGGAGUCUGCAACUCGACUCCAUGAAGUCGGAAUCGCUAGUAAUCGUAGAUCAGAAUGCUACGGUGAAUACGUUCCCGGGCCUUGUACACACCGCCCGUCACACCAUGGGAGUGGGUUGCAAAAGAAGUAGGUAGCUUAACCUUCGGGAGGGCGCUUACCACUUUGUGAUUCAUGACUGGGGUGAAGUCGUAACAAGGUAACCGUAGGGGAACCUGCGGUUG
Molecule: ribosomal RNA, 654 nt
Filed under: Proteus mirabilis
Lineage: Bacteria; Pseudomonadati; Pseudomonadota; Gammaproteobacteria; Enterobacterales; Morganellaceae
Description: bacterial SSU rRNA
Rfam family: Bacterial small subunit ribosomal RNA
Source: RNAcentral